AUAUGGAGGGUGCAAGCGUUGUUGGGAAUUACUGGGCGUAAAGCGCGCGUAGGCGGUCUGUUAUGUCAGAUGUGAAAGUCCUCGGCUCAACCGGGGAAGUGCAUUUGAAACUGGCAGACUUGAGUACUGGAGGGGGUGGUGGAAUUCCCGGUGUAGAGGUGAAAUUCGUAGAUAUCGGGAGGAAUACCGGUGGCGAAGGCGACCACCUGGCCAGAUACUGACGCUGAGGUGCGAAAGCGUGGGGAGCAAACAGGAUUAGAAACCCCAGUAGUCC
This 274-nucleotide ribosomal RNA is filed under the name uncultured bacterium. Its description in RNAcentral is "partial 16S ribosomal RNA". It matches the Rfam family "Bacterial small subunit ribosomal RNA", at positions 523 to 796 of the family's 1533-position model. The record is from RNAcentral.